UGGGGAAUAUUGCACAAUGGGCGCAAGCCUGAUGCAGCGAUGCCGCGUGAGGGAAGAAGGUUUUCGGAUUGUAAACCUCUGUCAUCAGGGACGAAAAAGGACGGUACCUGACGAAGAAGCACGGCUAACUACGUGCCAGCAGCCGCGGUAAUACGUAGGGAGCAAGCGUUAUCCGGAUUUACUGGGUGUAAAGGGCGUGUAGCCGGGAGGGCAAGUCAGAUGUGAAAUCCACGGGCUUAACUCGUGAACUGCAUUUGAAACUGUUCUUCUUGAGUAUCGGAGAGGCAAUCGGAAUUCCUAGUGUAGCGGUGAAAUGCGUAGAUAUUAGGAGGAACACCAGUGGCGAAGGCGGAUUGCUGGACGACAACUGACGGUGGGGCGCGAAAGCGUGGGGAGCAAACAGGAUUAGAUACCCUGGUAGU
This 422-nucleotide ribosomal RNA is filed under the name uncultured Pseudoflavonifractor sp. RNAcentral's name for it is "bacterial SSU rRNA". It matches the Rfam family "Bacterial small subunit ribosomal RNA", at positions 355 to 794 of the family's 1533-position model. The record is from RNAcentral. Lineage: Bacteria; Bacillati; Bacillota; Clostridia; Eubacteriales; Oscillospiraceae.